Molecule: long non-coding RNA, 646 nt
Organism: Neogale vison (American mink)
Lineage: Eukaryota; Metazoa; Chordata; Mammalia; Carnivora; Mustelidae
Exons: 3
Source: RefSeq, a predicted model, not a curated record
ACCUCUUCUAGUCAAUGAAAUCUUAGUUUAAUAAAGCCCAGUGUAUGUGCAUACUAGGUCACAAUGUAAAAUACAUUUUUCUUAUGGGUUGUGGUGUAAACAUUUGAAAGCCCCUAUUUUAGGAACUUCAGUUAAUGAUCAAACCAAACCAAGCAACCGGCAAAUUAAGUGAUUCUUCCUUGCUUCCACAUGUCUCGGUCCCUGCACUCCUUUAAGGAUUUCAAGAGAUAUCUGCUUCCCUCAUCCCACUCUCCUCUUCUCACCAACUUUUUAUUCUUUCAGAAAUGUUUCAAAUAUAAUGAAAUAAAACUUCUUUGUGCCACCUAAUGAAGUUCUCAAGUGCACGUUGGGGUGACAACUGCCCAAGGCAAGAAACAGAAGAUCCCUGGCACUCCGGCAUCCCCUCCUGAUCAGUACCCUUCCCUCUCUACAAUUCUGACGUCGUCAUACACAUACUAAAAUCUAUACGGGCUUUUUUUCCCCUUAGGAAUUUCUUCCCAUCCCAAGGUCACAAGGAUGUCCUUUUGUGCAUCUGGAACUGUGUAUAGAGUGUAUAGAGAGGGGAGAGAACUGUUCAUACAAGUGCAGCCGUGAGGAACCUCUUCCUCUCCCACCAACACUGCGGGAGCCCAGGACUUUCUCAAAC